Molecule: long non-coding RNA, 322 nt
Filed under: Carica papaya (papaya)
Lineage: Eukaryota; Viridiplantae; Streptophyta; Magnoliopsida; Brassicales; Caricaceae
Description: long non-coding RNA (CPAP_LNC007621)
Source: RNAcentral
GUAGUCAAUACAUAACUUUAGUGUCCCAUUUUUCUUUUUUUAAAAUGUGACUUUAGCACCCCAAGGAACACAUUAUGUCAUAUGAACUCACUAUCCUGCAAUUCUUUGAUUUGUUUCCUCAGCUCUUUCAUCUCAGUACGGCUCAUGCGGUAAGUGGCAACCGAGAUAGGCUAUGUGUCUGGCUAAAGAUCUAUAGUAAAUUUAACUUCUCUAUUCACUAGCAGUCCAGGUAUUUUAUCAGGAAACACAUCCGGAAAGCGUGGGACUACCAGAAUCUCUCAAAUGCAAUUUUCUUUGUAAGGUUUGUCUAGUUAGAGAAAAC